AUUGAACGCUGGCGGCAGGCCUAACACAUGCAAGUCGAGCGGAUGAAGGGAGCUUGCUCCUGGAUUCAGCGGCGGACGGGUGAGUAAUGCCUAGGAAUCUGCCUGGUAGUGGGGGAUAACGUCCGGAAACGGGCGCUAAUACCUCAUACGUCCUGAGGGAGAAAGUGGGGGAUCUUCGGACCUCACGCUAUCAGAUGAGCCUAGGUCGGAUUAGCUAGUUGGUGGGGUAAAGGCCUACCAAGGCGACGAUCCGUAACUGGUCUGAGAGGAUGAUCAGUCACACUGGAACUGAGACACGGUCCAGACUCCUACGGGAGGCAGCAGUGGGGAAUAUUGGACAAUGGGCGAAAGCCUGAUCCAGCCAUGCCGCGUGUGUGAAGAAGGUCUUCGGAUUGUAAAGCACUUUAAGUUGGGAGGAAGGGCAGUAAGUUAAUACCUUGCUGUUUUGACGUUACCAACAGAAUAAGCACCGGAUAACUUCGUG
This 484-nucleotide ribosomal RNA is filed under the name uncultured bacterium. Its description in RNAcentral is "partial 16S ribosomal RNA". It matches the Rfam family "Bacterial small subunit ribosomal RNA", at positions 30 to 507 of the family's 1533-position model. The record is from RNAcentral.